CACGUAGGGCGCAAGCGUUGUCCGGAAUUAUUGGGCGUAAAGAGCUUGUAGGCGGUUUGUCGCGUCUGCUGUGAAAUUUCGGGGCUCAACCCCGAACUUGCAGUGGGUACGGGCAGACUAGAGUGUGGUAGGGGAGACUGGAAUUCCUGGUGUAGCGGUGAAAUGCGCAGAUAUCAGGAGGAGCACCGAUGGCGAAGGCAGGUCUCUGGGCCAUAACUGACGCUGAGAAGCGAAAGCAUGGGGAGCGAACAGG
Molecule: ribosomal RNA, 253 nt
Filed under: uncultured bacterium
Lineage: Bacteria
Description: partial 16S ribosomal RNA
Rfam family: Bacterial small subunit ribosomal RNA
Source: RNAcentral